Molecule: small RNA, 3125 nt
Filed under: Pongo abelii (Sumatran orangutan)
Lineage: Eukaryota; Metazoa; Chordata; Mammalia; Primates; Hominidae
Description: retained intron
Source: RNAcentral
GCCGGCUUUUCUUUGCCUCUGCUGGAGUCCGGGGAGUGGCGUUGGCUGCUGGAGCGAUGCUGGGCCGGAGUCGCGUCGCCUUAGUCCUCCUGGCUGCCGCCGUCAGCUGUGCCGUCGCGCAGCACGCGCCGCCGUGGACAGAGGACUGCAGAAAAUCAACCUAUCCUCCUUCAGGACCAACGUACAGAGGUCCAGUUCCAUGGUACACCAUAAAUCUUGAUUUACCACCCUACAAAAGAUGGCAUGAAUUGAUGGUUGACAAGGCACCAAUGCUAAAGGUUAUAGUGAAUUCUCUGAAGAAUAUGAUAAAUACAUUCGUGCCAAGUGGAAAAAUUGUGCAGGUGGUGGAUGAAAAAUUGCCUGGCCUACUUGGCAACUUUCCUGGCCCUUUUGAAGAGGAAAUGAAGGGUAUUGCCGCUGUUACUGAUAUACCUUUAGGAGAGAUUAUUUCAUUCAAUAUUUUUUAUGAAUUAUUUACCAUUUGUACUUCAAUAGUAGCAGAAGACAAAAAAGGUCAUCUAAUACACGGGAGAAACAUGGAUUUUGGAGUAUUUCUUGGGUGGAACAUAAAUAAUGAUACCUGGGUCAUAACUGAGCAACUAAAACCUUUAACAGUGAAUUUGGACUUCCGAAGAAACAACAAAACUGUCUUCAAGGCUUCAAGCUUUGCUGGCUAUGUGGGCAUGUUAACAGGAUUCAAACCAGUAAGGAGUCUGUUGUUACAUAAUUAUACGGGUAGCUUUUUGUCCUAUUACUGUUACGUAAAAGUUGAAAUCUAAGAAUAUGAGGACCUAAAGGGAAUAUGAAGCCCCAUUUCACCCCCUUGUACUUCUUGUCAGUAUGAGAUCUCGUGGUAGAGAAGAGUAGAAAGGAAAUGGAGGUUUCUGAGCCUGUUCUGGGAUAAAGAGCAUGUGGCCGGGUGUCAAGGGCUCGGAGUCACAAUCUGAUUUCUAGUCCUGGGUCUUCCGCUCACUUAGGCAAGUCAGGCGUUCAUUCUCUGCCCUUCAGUUUCCUGUCCAAAAAGCGUUGCCAGUGGUACCCCACCUACUUAUCUCACAUACUACAAUCAAAAAUGCUUCGAACUUUUUAAAAAGCCUUGCAUGGUUUUGAUUUAUUUUUGCCUUCCCCAUUACCCAAGCUAGGCCUUUAUAUCCCACUCCGAAGUACAGUGAGCGACAGGGCCUUAAAGCGCAUGGUUGAUGUUUCUGACUUCGUUGCUUUGUCUUUUUCUCAGGGACUGUUCAGUCUUACACUGAAUGAACGUUUCAGUAUAAAUGGUGGUUAUCUGGGUAAGUAGAGCAUUCUCAAGUGAAAUGGGAAUCUCAGAGCUUUUUUAUGAGGAAGGCUGGACUGUGCCUUCUGGUUACAAAGUCCAACCUCUUCCGGUUCCCGACUGGUUACAAAGUCUAACCUCUUCUGGUUCCUGACUGGUUACAAAUUCCAACCUCUUCCGGUUCCCGACUGGUUACAAAGUCUAACCUCUUCUGGUUCCUGACUGGUUAUAUUAGUCCAGCCUCUUCCGGGUCCUGACUGGUUACAUAGUGUAACCUCUUCCGGUUCCUGACAUUGUGUUCAUCUCUUCCAGGUGUUCUAGAAUGGAUUUUGGGAAAGAAAGAUGCCAUGUGGAUAGGGUUCCUCACUAGAACAGUUCUGGAAAAUAGCACAAGUUAUGAAGAAGCCAAGAAUUUAUUGACCAAGACCAAGAUAUUGGCCCCAGCCUACUUUAUCCUGGGAGGCAACCAGUCGGGGGAAGGUUGUGUGAUUACACGAGACAGAAAGGAAUCAUUGGAUGUAUAUGAACUCGAUGCUAAGCAGGGUAGGUGGUAUGUGGUACAAACAAAUUAUGACCGUUGGAAACAUCCCUUCUUCCUUGAUGAUCGCAGAACGCCUGCCAAGAUGUGUCUGAACCGCACCACCCAAGAGAAUAUCUCAUUUGAAACCAUGUAUGAUGUCCUGUCAACAAAACCUGUCCUCAACAAGCUGACCGUAUUCACAACCUUGAUAGAUGUUACCAAAGGUCAAUUCGAAACUUACCUGCGGGACUGCCCUGACCCUUGUAUAGGGUGGUGAGCACACAUCUGGCCUACAGAAUGCGGCCUCUGAGACAUGAAGACACCAUCUCCAUGUGACCGAACACUGCAGCUGUCUGACCUUCCAAAGACUAAGACUCAGGGCAGGUUCUCUUUGAGUCACAAGCUUGUCUUCCUCCAUCUGUUGACAAUUGACAGACUUUUUUUUUCCCCCCAUCAGUUGAUUUUUCUUAUUUACAGAUACUUCUUUAGGAGAAGUAAAACAAUCAUCUAGAAUUCAUUGAGUUUUGUUUCACUUUGACAUUUGGGGAUCUGGUGGGCAGUCGAACCAUGGUGAGCUCCACCUCCGUGGAAUAAAUGGAGAUUCAGCGUGGGUAUUGAAUCCAGCACAUCUGUGUGAGUAACGGAACAGUAAACACUCCACAUUCUUCAGUUUUUCACUUUUACUUACUAUUUGUAUGUUUUUCUGUAUAACAGCCUUUUCCUUCUGAUUCUAACUACUGUUAAAAUUAAUAUGUCAUUAUCUUUGCUGUUAUUGACGGCAAUAUAAUUUUAUUACAUAUGAUUAGAGGGAUGAGACAGACAUUCACCUGUAUAUUUCUUUUAAUGGGCACAGAAUGGGCCUUUGACUCUAAAUAGCACUUUUUGGGGUUCAAGAAGUAAUCAGUAUGCAAAGCAGUCUUUUAUACAAUAAUUGAAGUGUUCCCUUUUUCAUAAUUACUCUACCUCCCAGUAACCCUAAGGAAGUUGCUAACUUAAAAAACCGCAUCCCAGAUUCUGUGAAUUUAGUACAUAAACAAGUCAAAGACUUGUGGAAAAUAGGAAGUGAACUCAUAUUUUAAAUUCUCAUAAGUAGCAUUCAUGUAAUAAACAGGUUUUUAGUUUGUUCUUCAGAUUGAUAGGUAGUUUUAAAGAAAUUUUAGUAGUUACUAAAAUUAUGUUACUUUAUUUUUCAGAAAUCAAACUACUUAUGAAAAUUACUAAUAGAACUUGUUAACCUUUCUAACCUUCACGAUUAACUGUGAAAUGUAUGCCAUUUGUGCAAGACCAUGUGUCCACUUCAUUUUGUAUAAUCACAGUUGUGUUCCUGACACU